ACUUUGAUAGCUUAAACUUAGAGCAUGGCACUGAAGAUGCUAAGGUAACAAUUCUGUUUCAAGGUG
This 66-nucleotide transfer RNA is filed under the name Conus quercinus. RNAcentral describes it as "tRNA-Phe". It matches the Rfam family "tRNA". From Rfam's summary of the family: Transfer RNA (tRNA) molecules are approximately 80 nucleotides in length. Their secondary structure includes four short double-helical elements and three loops (D, anti-codon, and T loops). Further hydrogen bonds mediate the characteristic L-shaped molecular structure. tRNAs have two regions of fundamental functional importance: the anti-codon, which is responsible for specific mRNA codon recognition, and the 3' end, to which the tRNAs corresponding amino acid is attached (by aminoacyl-tRNA synthetases). tRNAs cope with the degeneracy of the genetic code in two manners: having more than one tRNA (with a specific anti-codon) for a particular amino acid; and 'wobble' base-pairing, i.e. permitting non-standard base-pairing at the 3rd anti-codon position. Lineage: Eukaryota; Metazoa; Mollusca; Gastropoda; Neogastropoda; Conidae. The record is from RNAcentral.